GACGUAGGGUGCAAGCGUUGUUCGGAGUUACUGGGCGUAAAGCGUGCGUAGGCGGUGGUCCAAGUCUGGUGUGAAAUCUCCCGGCUCAACUGGGAGGGUGCGCCGGAAACUGGGCCGCUGGAGUAUGGGAGAGGCAAGCGGAAUUCCCGGUGUAGCGGUGAAAUGCGUAGAUAUCUGGAGGAACACCCGUGGUGCAGACGGCUUGCUGGACCAUGACUGACGCUGAGGCACGAAAGCGUGGGUAGCAAACAGG
This 253-nucleotide ribosomal RNA is filed under the name uncultured bacterium. Its description in RNAcentral is "partial 16S ribosomal RNA". It matches the Rfam family "Bacterial small subunit ribosomal RNA", at positions 524 to 776 of the family's 1533-position model. The record is from RNAcentral.